RNAcentral lists this unclassified non-coding RNA (353 nucleotides) under soil metagenome. RNAcentral describes it as "partial contains 5.8S ribosomal RNA, internal transcribed spacer 2, and large subunit ribosomal RNA". The stretch from base 1 to 120 matches the Rfam family "5.8S ribosomal RNA", at positions 35 to 154 of the family's 154-position model. The record is from RNAcentral.
GAUGAAGAACGCAGUGAAACGCGAUAUGUAAUGUGAAUUGCAGAAUUCAGUGAAUCAUCGAAUCUUUGAACGCACAUGGCGCCUUCCAGUAUCCUGGGAGGCAUGCCUGUCCGAGCGUCGUUUCAACCCUCGAGCCCCCGUGGCCCGCGUUGGGGAUCUGCCCAGGCAGUCCCCGAAAACCAGUGGCGGACCCGUUACAGGCCCUUCCCUUGCGUAGUAGCAUUCGCCUCGCAUCGGGAGCCGGCGGGCUUCCAGCCUCUAAACCCCCAUCAAGUCCGCCCCGGCGGCACCAAGGUUGACCUCGGAUCAGGUAGGAAUACCCGCUGAACUUAAGCAUAUCAAUAAGCGGAGGA